RNAcentral lists this ribosomal RNA (427 nucleotides) under uncultured cyanobacterium. Its description in RNAcentral is "bacterial SSU rRNA". It matches the Rfam family "Bacterial small subunit ribosomal RNA", at positions 356 to 795 of the family's 1533-position model. Lineage: Bacteria; Bacillati; Cyanobacteriota. The record is from RNAcentral.
GGGGAAUUUUCCGCAAUGGGCGAAAGCCUGACGGAGCAAUACCGCGUGAGGGAUGACGGCCUAUGGGUUGUAAACCUCUUUUUUCAGGGAGGAAACAAAUGACGUGUACCUGAAGAAUAAGCAUCGGCUAACUCCGUGCCAGCAGUCGCGGUAAGACGGAGGAUGCAAGUGUUAUCCGGAAUCACUGGGCGUAAAGCGUCUGUAGGUGGUCCAAUAAGUCAACUGUUAAAUCUUGAGGCUCAACCUCAAAAUCGCAGUCGAAACUAUUAGACUUGAGUAUAGUAGGGGUAAAGGGAAUUUCCAGUGGAGCGAUGAAAUGCGUAGAGAUUGGAAAGAACACCGAUGGCGAAGGCACUUUACUGGGCUAUAACUAACACUGAGAGACGAAAGCUAGGGUAGCAAAUGGGAUUAGAUACCCCAGNUAGUC